GUGCCAGCCGCCGCGGUAAUACGGAGGGAGCAAGCGUUACUCGGAAUUAUUGGGCGUAAAGGGCGCGUAGGCGAUCUGAAAAGUUCUGUGUGAAAGCCCACAUGUUAACUGUGGAAGUGCACAGAAAACUGUUGGAUUUGAGUUCAGGAGAGGAAGGCAGAAUUCCCGGUGUAGCGGUGAAAUGCGUAGAGAUCGGGAGGAAUACCAGUGGCGAAGGCGGCCUUCUGGACUGACACUGACGCUGAGGCGCGAAAGCCAGGGGAGCAAACGGGAUUAGAAACCCUCGUAGUCC
This 292-nucleotide ribosomal RNA is filed under the name uncultured bacterium. RNAcentral's name for it is "partial 16S ribosomal RNA". It matches the Rfam family "Bacterial small subunit ribosomal RNA", at positions 505 to 796 of the family's 1533-position model. The record is from RNAcentral.